CCUGGAAGUAGGUGUGCAAACCCAAGUCAAAGUCCCUGUCGGCAGCCAUGGCGCUUUGAGAGACUGAGCCUCCAGGACCCCUGGCUUAAAUGGCUUGAGGGCAAGGAUCUGGAUGUACCACCUCCUCACGACUAAAUGCAACAGACGGCAGGAUUUCAACCAAAGAAAAGUGAGUACUGUGGACCAGGUGGCUGGACAAACGCAUGACAAGGACCAGCUUAUCGCACGAUGCCAUAGGUACGAGCCAAAUGGAGGUGAUCCUGUAACCGGAGGGGGCCUGUUGAAGUGGGAGCCGCCAACACUGUGGUUGGAGUGCACUGCACUGUGCGGGCACAGCCUUUUGGGGACCGCGUGCUCUACUCGCCCCUGCUGCCAGAGUGCCGCCUGGCUUGUCCGGCGUGUUAGCUGGGUGAUCUUUAACUUAUUCCUGAUUUUGUUCCAGAUCACAGGUCUAAAAAAAGGACACUGGAGACAGAAGGAUAAUGUUGGGUUUUGUUUUAUUUCCAAGGAAUGCAGACCUCUUCCUCUGUGGGCAGUGAGGGUGAAGGCCUGGUCAUCCCGAUCCCAGGGCCCGGGUACGCCGGGUCUGGGCUGUCGCUUUCAUAAGAUGGGGUGGCCGGGCUUCGGCCGCCCCUGCCCUCUCCUGCAGCAGCCUCUUGAUCUUAGCGGUAUUGGAGAUGGGUUGGGUGGGAGGUGUGAGGUUAAGAUGUUCAUGGCCCUGUGGACUCGGUUCUGACGGGGUCCUGGCGUCCAGCCACCAUGAGGACGCACAAGACUUGAGCUCCUCUUUCACCAUUUGUUCUGCAAGAUGCCAGGAAGGGGGAUCAUCUCGCCAGGCAGUUUAUUUUUGAAGGUGAUGUGUUUGUAGAUUUUAGUCAGUGACGUGAGUCUUGGUUGAAUUCUCAUCCCUGCAAAGUCUCUCCAUCUAAGGCAGGCCUGCUUUUCCAUACACUGCAUCCAGACUGUGGAGUCUCCUCCCCAGUGUAUGCACAAGCACCGAGGCGCCCCGCUCACCCCUGAGCGGCUUAGCUCUCUCGGGAAGGCAGUUGGCGAAUAAUCCUUGUAGCUACUGUUCUUGGCGAGCCUUGUAGAAAAACCUUAUUUUUAUUUUGCCCGGCUUUUUUCUUGCCGCCCUGGGAAUGAAGGUCUUUCACGCCCUCCUACGUUCUAGCAGAAUUCUAACUCAUGUGAAGUUCAUUUCCAACUUUAUAGGUUUCAGUCCCAACCGUGAAACUUUUAUAUGUGGAAUAUAAUUAUAUAUAUGUGUGUGUGUAUGUGUGUAUAUAUAUAUAUGUGCCAUGUAUAUGUAUGUAUAUAUACAUAUAUAUGUAUAUAUAUGUAUACACACAUAUAUGUAUAUGCAUAUGUAUAUGUAUAUAUACACGUAUACAUAUAUGUGUGUAUACAUACGUAUAUACACACACACACACACACACACACACACAUAUAUAUGGCAGUAUAGCCUUGGGCAAAAUCUGUUUCCUUGAGCAUCUGUCUCCUUAUCUCUAACUAGGAAUCCUAACGUAUACCUCCUGGGAUCGUUUUAAGAAUCUAUGGAAAUGCUUUGGAAGUUAGGAAAUGAAUAUGUCCGCCGGUCAUCGUGUGCUUAGGAAAGUCGUCUCCCAUCUCCCACUUCCAGGCCUCUGUUUCCUUGUCUGCACGGUGAUGGACGUGCUGAAAUGGAUGUCUUUACAUCCGCAUCCCAGCUCUCUAAGCCACACACUGUGGCAACGGUGGCCAUGUUGGCAGACAGAUGCAGGGCUCUCGGCAAGGCUGACCUGCCCAUCAGGGCUCCGAAACAGGGCGGCCUAGUCAGCUACUGAAGGCUGUCAGCAUCGGUGAACACACUUGCUCUAACAGGCACAGAUUACAAAAUACGCCAUUAUGUAGGCGGGUUGGAGACACUUCUGUGUGCCUGGUGUUUGUGUGUACUAGACUUGUUUCCUUCCGGGACUCUGUUGGAGCUGUAGCUCUCUCUGAUUGUUUUAUAGAAUUCCUUUUCCCUUCUGAGGAUAGGAUGGGGGUUACAGACUCUUUAGUGGUUCAUGGAAUCAAUAUCUUCCAUAAAUGUAGGUUUUCCUUGGUGAAGACACAUGAAAAAGCCAGUCUCUUAACAAGUUCACAAUUCCAGGUUGAUACUGGAGUUGUUUUCAUGCAAGUAGCCCAUCAUUAUUUCAACCUGGGCUGAGCUGAAUUUUGCCUUUGAACUAUUUAUGGAAAGCGGGCUUGUGAAAUAAAUAUAAAUCAAGAUUUUUCUUUCCACGUAAGCAUGUACAAUGCAGUACAGUUUGUAAGAACUGUCACAUUGUUUUGUGAAUGAAGUGCACAGCAGGUUUAAACCUCUGGGAAAAAACCCAAAACCAACCAUAUUUAAGAACUUUACCAAGUAAAGCAUGUAUUAUGGAUGCCAGCAAUCAUUAAUACAUAUGACAUUAAAAGAGCUGUGUCCACCCGUUUGUGACUUACGUGUUUGAAAAUGAUAAAACUGCAUUACUUUAAAAAACAUUGCAUAAUUUAAGUAUCUUACUCAUGGAGACUGGCCUUCCCUGCAAUUAAUCCAAAUUAAGAGGUCUACAGGAAGGGUAAUAGGCUGGGGUGGGGUGGGGGGUACCUUGUUACAAGAGAGAAACCGUUGGUAAACUCACCGCCUCCCCUGAGGGGCCCCAUAAGAAAGUAGGAUUUGUAUAUUGUGGCUAAUAAAUCUCCAAACUCUAGCCAAUGACCCAUUUAUGUUUGGUAAUAUCAAUAUAAGUUCCAUAAUAAUUUCAUUUAUUUUCAUUAAAAUAGUUUCCAACAUAAGCAGAAAAGCCAGGCAGUCCUCUGGCGUGUGUAUCAGCCACCUGCUUGUAUAUCAUUCUCAGCAUUCGGUGAGCGGGCACUUGAGUGGCCCGAUAAUGGUUAAUAUUCAUCAAAGAACUAAGUGCAUCCGAGGGAGGAGAAAAAUCCGUGGUUGUCAAUACCUGUGUAUGGCUCAUUCUUGACAGUUGAUGCAUUUUGGUAGUGAGGAAACGCUUAGAUAAUGGAACCUGUAGCAAAACCUCAGGCAAAAGCUGCAUUGUUACUGUUGCAUCCAAACUUCAGACGUAAGAGCAGUGGGUGGUCUGGUGCCCAUCUAAUUUCUGAUCACCUACUGUCCUGUCAGGGAAUUCUGAAGAUCAGUACCAGACCUGAAAGCCGUGUGACAGAAAGGAGGAGAACAAAGAAAAAACGAAAUCCAACUUGGUGUUCUCAAGUAACCGAGAUCUGUUUCUUUGUGCCAGGGAGGAUGGGUUGGAAGGAAAUCCUGUCGCCUGAGUGUUGACGUACAGUAAAACCUUGGUUCCCGAGCAUAAUUCGUUCCGGAAACAUGCUUCUAAUCCAAAGCACUUGUAUACUGAAGCGAAUUUCCCCAUAAGAAAUAAUGAAAACUCAGAGGAUUUGUUGCACAACCCAAAAACAUUCAUAUAAAAAUGAUUACAAUACUGUAAUAUAAUGCAAAAUAGUAAAGAAAAUACAAAGAAAAAUAACCUGUACUUACCUAGUUCUACCUUUGAAGACCUUCGUGGCUGGUAUGAGGGAGACAGAAGAGAGGAGGGUUAUUGUGUAGGACAACUUUCACGAUCACCAACGG
RNAcentral lists this long non-coding RNA (3610 nucleotides) under Lynx pardinus (Iberian lynx). Lineage: Eukaryota; Metazoa; Chordata; Mammalia; Carnivora; Felidae. The record is from RNAcentral.